GAUGAACGCUGGCGGCGUGCCUAAUACAUGCAAGUCGAGCGAACAGACGAGGAGCUUGCUCCUCUGACGUUAUCGGCGGACGGGUGAGUAACACGUGGAUAACCUACCUAUAAGACUGGGAUAACUUCGGGAAAACGGAGCUACUACCGGAUAAUAUAUUGAACCGCAUGGUUCAAUAGUGAAAGACGCUUUUGCUGUCACUUAUAGAUGGAUCCGCGUCGCAUUAUCUAGUUGGUAAGGUAACGGCCUACCAACGCCACGAUGCGUAGCCGACCUGAGAGGGUGAUCGGCCACACUGGAACUGGGGCACGGUCCAAACUCCUACGGGAAGCAGCAGGAGGGAAUCUUCGGCAAUGGGCGGCAGCUUGGCGGAGCCACGCCGCGUUAGUGAUAAAGGUCUUCGGAUCGGAAAACUCUGUUAGUAGGGAAAAACAAGUGUGUAAGUAACUAUGCACGGCUUGACGGUACCUAAGCAGAAAGCCACGGCUGAAUACGUG
Molecule: ribosomal RNA, 497 nt
Filed under: uncultured bacterium
Lineage: Bacteria
Description: partial 16S ribosomal RNA
Rfam family: Bacterial small subunit ribosomal RNA
Source: RNAcentral